AAUGGUGAUGGAACAGUUAUUUGUGGCUGUGCUAAUGAUGUCUGCACACCUAGCAGUCUCAUAUCCUAUGAAUACAGGGAGAAAUUACAUGGAUGGAGAGAGACAAUGCAGACUGUGUCCACCAGGUCAUUAUCAGAAGUCCUGUUCAGAGUGCUCUCCCUGUCGAGAUGGUUCCUACACAACACGAUUGAACGCAGAGUCCAGUUGUCAUUCCUGCUUCAAAGACUGCAAACGUGAUUUGCACCUGGUGGAGGAUGAGCCGUGUACUCCUGUAUCGGACGCUAGAUGUCGCUGUGAGGCUGGUUUUACCUGCACCGACAAAGACGACCAGACAGGAAACUGUAGAGACUGUGAGAAGAUCCCUCAGCUGCCCCCACCUCCCCUUCCACCUAGCAAUGUAGUGGGCAUCAGAAACAACCAGACAGGAACUUCCUCUGGACGCUGUCAACCUCCCAACUGUGACACUCCACGAUCACCAGUCUCACAAGCAGGCAACGCCACUCAUCACACCUCAGCUGACACCAGCAAACACUUGGCAGCCAUUUUGUGUCCUAUGGUGGUCAUUGGAAUCCUAGCCGUUAUCAUUCUGUUAUGUAUCCGUCGCCCAGGAAAUGAAGCCUGUUUCAAACAAGCUCUCAAGUUCUGUAACAAGGGAGUAAGAGAAACGUCGCCUAACAAGACCAAAGAGCCACCUCAUCAGCACAAUGCCAGAGAGGCACAGCCCAGUAUUAAGCACCAGACAGUGGAUCCACCACCUAUUACAGCAGCAAAUAUGGGCCCAGUCCAUGUCCACAAUGCUGGAACAGUCAUCUUCAGUUUACUCAACCAGUUCACUGGUAUGGGUGGAGGGAUGGAAGAGAGAGGGCAGAAAGAGAGGGAUGAGGAAGGAUGUCCGACCCACCCCACACCCUCCCCUAACAUCCAUCUAUCCCAGGAGGAAAGGGAUGGGGAGAUGGACUGUGUAUUCUUCCCUUCACAGGAACAAGGGAAGGACAGUCACGUUUCCAAAGAGGAGGUGCAUUGA
RNAcentral lists this long non-coding RNA (1024 nucleotides) under Oncorhynchus kisutch (coho salmon). RNAcentral's name for it is "lncRNA (ENSOKIG00005004081.1)". Lineage: Eukaryota; Metazoa; Chordata; Actinopteri; Salmoniformes; Salmonidae. The record is from RNAcentral.